Molecule: ribosomal RNA, 424 nt
Filed under: uncultured Bacteroidota bacterium
Lineage: Bacteria; Pseudomonadati; Bacteroidota
Description: bacterial SSU rRNA
Rfam family: Bacterial small subunit ribosomal RNA
Source: RNAcentral
UGAGGAAUAUUGGUCAAUGGACGGAAGUCUGAACCAGCCAUGCCGCGUGGAGGAAGAAGGUCCUAUGGGUUGUAAACUCCUUUUGUCCGAGAGUAAUAAGGUCUUUGCGAAGACCGAUGAGAGUAUCGGGCGAAUAAGCAUCGGCUAACUCCGUGCCAGCAGCCGCGGUAAUACGGAGGAUGCAAGCGUUAUCCGGAUUUAUUGGGUUUAAAGGGUGCGCAGGCGGGCUGUUAAGUCAGCGGUGAAAUCUCCCGGCUCAACCGGGGAACUGCCGUUGAUACUGGCAGCCUAGAGUACAGACGGCGCCGGCGGAAUGUGUCAUGUAGCGGUGAAAUGCUUAGAUAUGCCACAGAACACCGAUCGCGAAGGCAGCUGGCGAGGCUGGGACUGACGCUCAGGCACGAAAGCGUGGGGAUCAAACAGG